UACGAAGGGGGCUAGCGUUGUUCGGAAUCACUGGGCGUAAAGGGCGCGUAGGCGGCCGACCAAGUCGGGGGUGAAAGCCUGUGGCUCAACCACAGAAUUGCCUUCGAUACUGUUUGGCUUGAGACCGGAAGAGGUUAGUGGAACUGCGAGUGUAGAGGUGAAAUUCGUAGAUAUUCGCAAGAACACCAGUGGCGAAGGCGGCUGACUGGUCCGGUUCUGACGCUGAGGCGCGAAAGCGUGGGGAGCAAACAGG
This 253-nucleotide ribosomal RNA is filed under the name uncultured bacterium. RNAcentral describes it as "partial 16S ribosomal RNA". It matches the Rfam family "Bacterial small subunit ribosomal RNA", at positions 524 to 776 of the family's 1533-position model. The record is from RNAcentral.